This 426-nucleotide long non-coding RNA is filed under the name Gallus gallus (chicken). Lineage: Eukaryota; Metazoa; Chordata; Aves; Galliformes; Phasianidae. The record is from RNAcentral.
UAGAAAACUUGACCAAGCAUCGGAGUGGAUAGUUGGUUUGGAAGUUCUGGCUGUAUCUCUUAAACACAAUAUCUUUAAGGGAGUUUAAACAAUGACUUCGAAGCUCCAUUUCAUGGAUGUCGUGGUAAUUGGAAGCAACAACCAUUGCCUGACACAGCAGAGGUAAGUUGCUCCUAAGGACAGAGGCAGAGAUGAAGACAUAAGGAGUCUGGGAGUGGUAUACAACAUAACUGGUUUUGUACUGGUUUGGUUUUGUAUAAGGUGUUCCCCAGGCAAUUCUAAUCCAGAUUGCAUUAUCCUCAUAUUCCCGAAAAUUGAUGGUGACAUUUAUCAAAGCUGAUUGAAUUUGUCUUCUAAAUUUUUUUUUGAAAUCUCUGAAGUCAAAGAAGUCUGUUUCUUCCCCUGUUUUGUUCAUAUGGUAGACAC